AUGGGUGACUGUUCCUUUAAGAGUAAAGAAUCACUCCUCUUAUAUCAUCAGCAGUCUCGUUUCACAUUCUGCCUCCACAUCAUACUCACAUGUGGAAACUUAAGAGCUGGCAAUAUAUUUAUUUUACAUCACAAGGAUGACCAGAUGCUGGUGCUGUCCUUUGCAACUUUGAGUCUCCUUGUGAAGAGGGAAAAAAGGAGUAUAAAUAAACAUGAUGAUGAUGAUGAUGAUGAUCAGGCAUGGAAUGCCAAGCUCCCAAAGGACCAGGUAGGACACAGAUUGGGCUGAAGGCAAAAUCAGAGGCUUUAUUCUUAAUGGCCAGAGAGAAUGUCAGCAGAGAUAGCCCUCCAAAGAACUGACAUACCUAAUUACAAAUACAGAGCAUUUUUUUUUCAUUCUGACAGCUAUUCAAGAAACCCAUGCAAGCUCCUGACUGGUUAAGAAAUGAUCCAGCUAAUAUUCGCAUCUGCAGUGGCUCAGGACUCCAUCUGUUGACAUCACUGAUUGGCUCUUUUUAGUGGCAAGAAAUUUAAUAAACUUUCAUUGGAGCAUUUGACGUGUCGGUCUGUUUAUCAAUUCACCUCUGAAAGGGGCGUGAUUACAAAGGAAUGUGGUGUGGCAUAGGGCUCAUGGUGAGCUUAAUGAUUUGGCUCCGAUAGGUUUUUCCCUUUCUUCCUUGUAAUCUCAUUUUCUUUGUUAGUUUUUUUUAGAUUGCAAGACUGUAGACAGAAAUUACCAUAUAUACUAAAGAAUAAGAUGACCUGAAUAUAAGCUGAGGCACCUAAUUUUACCACAAAAAAUGGGGAAAACUUAUUGACUUGAGUAUAAGAUGAGGGUGGAAAAUACAGCAACUACUGGAAAAUUUCAUCAAUAAUAAUAAUAAUAAUAAUAAUAAUAAUAAUAAUAAUAAUAAACAAAAUCCAGCAUAUAUAUCUCAUUUGUUGUGUCACACUCUGUCUUUGUGUCAAUAAUAAUAAUAAUAAGACUAUUGAGAGUAGUGUUGAUUUAUUCACUUGCCUAGUGUAAGGAUUUCCAGCA
RNAcentral lists this long non-coding RNA (1038 nucleotides) under Anolis carolinensis (green anole). RNAcentral's name for it is "lncRNA (ENSACAG00000044491.1)". The record is from RNAcentral. Lineage: Eukaryota; Metazoa; Chordata; Lepidosauria; Squamata; Anolidae.